ACUGCAUGCCAACAUCCUGCAAGUCGAUAGACCUGCAGCAUCUCUGGCAGUCACCAGUAACUUCAUGAGGAAAGCUGGCUGCUUGGAAAGAAGAAAGUGAGGCCUGAGAACCUGCCAGGAUCCAGACUUAUCUCCACGGCUAGUGAAGUGGGAAGAUGCUUUUGCACAGGGAAGCUACUCAUCUUUCUUGUCACCCACGUUGGCUGUUUCCAGAAAGGAUUAUAUUAUACAUGUGUAUGUGUGCAUGAAUAUGUGUGUGUGCACAUGUGCAUGUGAGUGUGUUUACUCACCUGCGUGGAGAACACUUGUAGGUUAGAGGGUGACAUCAGGUGUCUUCCUCAGGGUCCCUUACUGGGUCUGGAGCUCUGUAUUUAGGUCUGGCUUGCUGGCCAGUGAACCCCAGAAUCUGCCUGUCUCUUCAACCCAGAACUAGAAUUACAGCAGUGAACCGGAUCCUGGGAUGAAACGUUGGGAGAUUUUGUCGUGUCUCAGUGGCUAUGCCUUGUGGGAAGCUCUUCCUGACAAUUCAGACCUAAGAUGUCGGUGCCGAUUGAUGACGGCGUCUUUGUGCACCAGCCCUUCCUUUCCCAAUUUACUCCACCAGGGUGUGGUCAAGACAGAAUGGGAUAAGACCUAUGAUGUGUAUGGUGUUCAGUUUUCUACAUCAAGUCAUAGACCUGAGGUUUCAGCCCCUGAUGCUUAUGGCCUGUGCCCAGGUAGCUCCUCAGGACAUGCUGUGUGUGAAAGUGAAGCCAGUCACUUCUUGACUAUGAUAUAAAGGAAGGAGCCAUGGUCCCACUAACCUCCUGGAAGGUAGCAUUUCUUAAAGAAGCA
This 834-nucleotide long non-coding RNA is filed under the name Mus musculus (house mouse). RNAcentral describes it as "predicted gene, 34544". The record is from RNAcentral. Lineage: Eukaryota; Metazoa; Chordata; Mammalia; Rodentia; Muridae.